UCCCUGGAGGACUAGUUGUAAGGCCAUGGAGCUCUCACCGCUGCGGCCCAGGUUCGAUUCCUGGCCAUAAAA
This 72-nucleotide transfer RNA is filed under the name Pangasianodon hypophthalmus (striped catfish). Its description in RNAcentral is "tRNA-Glu". The record is from RNAcentral. Lineage: Eukaryota; Metazoa; Chordata; Actinopteri; Siluriformes; Pangasiidae.